ACUCAAUUUUGCGAUGAAACUUAGCUGUUUUUUGACAUUCUGGACUUAGUCGAAUUUACAAUUUCUAUUCUGACAGUUGUGGAGUCGGCGUUCGUCACCAAACGGCGCAGAGUGGAGGAUAAGUUUUGAUAAUGCGUCCCGGAAAAGAUCGGAACUGGAAGAUAGCAUUAGAUGUGAAGGAAACGGUGGACGAGGAAGUGCCAUAAGAGUUUUCACCGGCCAAAUAAGUAGAAAAUAGCGAAGCAGUAACUUUUCCAGCAGAUUCGAUCGACGGAACUUCGCUCUCGUCCACCGUUUUCCCACAUACAUUGUUACCUUCCCGUUCCGAUCUUCUCCGGGAGUUUUCCGUGUUUUUUUAUUUAUUUCUGUUUGACAGGUGGAGCGGGUAAAUUAUGGCAAAGUGUCCCCGGAGAAGAUUGGACCGGAAAGAUAACCUAAAAUGUGAAGGAAACAAAAAAUAGGGCACCUCCGAAUCAACGGAAAUGGAAGAACAAUAACAACAAGUGCAAAUAAACAAUAACUUCCAUGUCCUGGGAAUGGUUCCAGUCCUGAAAGUGGCCAGCGGAAUCUACAAAACCAACUUGACUGGGACGUGGAGGUUUUUGCUCUGACGGAAGCGCCGGGAGUCGAGCUGUAGGCAAAGUUAAAGUAGAUAUUAGUUGUAGCCGGUGCGGCGGCUUGUAGUCCCAAGAUCAUGCCGAACGCAGCGGUGACGGAGAGGCUGUAAAUUCAUCCUGUGACGACAGUUGUCAAAAGGUACCGCAGCUUCGCCGGAUACCCAAAACCAGUUGUGAAAUCAUCCCAAGUCUAGGUUAAAAAGAAGAAGUCUUUUCGCGGAAGAGGACGAAAUGCUGCGGUGGAGAGGCUGUUUGCGAACGUUGAGUUCCUUCUGAACACGCCGCAAGAUAAGAAGCCAGGAGAGAAACAAAAGUGUCCGGAAGUUGCGACGCCCAUAACGCAUCCGGAGGAUUUCCUGCCGAUCAAGCUGUUUGUGCCCGAUUCCAGACCAGCUGUACGCGAAAUACACGAUGAAGCGACUGUCCAAGUCUGGGAGGAAUGGUACAUCAUGGCCCAGCUCGGAGUGGAUCGUCCAGCUGCACUAUGCCUUUCAGGAUGCCAAGUAUCUGUAGAUGGGGAUGGACUGCAUGCUGGGCGGAGAUAUUGUCGGUUUGAUUAACGAUUACGGAAUCCCGGAGAAGUGGUUCAUCUUUUAAAAGGAGGAGGUCGUGCUAGCGAAUCCAUUGGCAAGAGAAGCCGGACAACAUGCUGCUGGACAAACACGGUCACCUGAAGCGUCCCGAUUUCGGAACGUAAAUGCGAAUGUUCCCGGACGGGCGAAAGCAGUCGGAACACCCGACAACAUCAGUCCGGAAGGCUGCAAUUCCCAGGUGCUCAAGGUGGUUAUGGGCGCGGGUGCGACUGGUGGUCCAUUCCUGUAUGAAAUCUUAAUCGGUGAUACGCACUAAGUACGUACGGCAAGAUUAUGGACUACAAAAAAUCGCUGCAUUUCCCGGAUGACACCCAAAUCAGCGACAAUGACAAAUCGCUUAACAACAAGUCUGCUUCGAUAACCGAACCAAUCGAAACCAUCACGUUCGGCAUCGAUCAUCCAACAAUGCCGAACUGCUUCGAAUGGAGAACAGCUUCAGCGUAAACGGAACACGAUCGAAAAGCAGUAGCGGACACUCCGGCAGCAGAUCAAACUGAUAACUCAGCGCUGCAGGAACAGUAGAAGACCGAAACGGAAGUGAGUCAAAAGCUGAAGAAGUAAGGGGCCGAACUGCGUCUCAGCAAAACCGACGUCGAGCAUAAGGCGUCCGAACUGGCGUCGAUGCUAGCUGGACUGCAAGCCGCUCGAGACGCUCUCCAACAGAACGUGGCCGAUCCAUAGACCCGUCUGGCCCACGAACACAACGCGCGCGCAAUAACGGAACUGCAAAAGGAACUUCAAGGAAAGCUACACUUGCUCGGUGGUGUUCAGGAACAGUCCGUUAUGCGGGAACAGCAAGCCCUCGAGGAAAACCACUGCCGGUUGGAUCGGAUCUCCGACCUGGAGAAGAAAACCGUAUCCAUCGAGUGCCAACUGAAAGUCGUACAGAACCGGUAACACCAGGGAACGGAAAGUCCCGACAGCUGGACAAUGAGAAAGCCAACAUGGAGGAGGUCAAAGGUCUACAAACCAAGUCGCCCGCCAAAUGGUCGAGCAAAACUAGCAGGAAGAUGAACACCAGAUAUCGAUACUGUCGUUGGACUACCGGCAGAUUCAGCAGCGGCUGCAGAAGCUCGAGGGCGAGUACCGGCAGGAAUCGGAGGUAGCCCACCUCAGUGCGAAGGAGAGGCAGCUAGUCAAAAGUGUGCAGCAGCUCCGGGAGAUGAAGCAGGUCCACACAGUAAUGCCGAUUCACCAUGCCUAGCCAUCAAAAUCACCACAUCUGAGGCCGUCAAGCGCAGCACAGUGCAGUUUUACAUGCACUCCGAACAGUACCAACAGGUGCCGACUGCACAAAAUCAAUAAAAAGAGAAGCAAUUGUUGCAUUAAAUAAAAAAAGAUUUAAAUAAAUAAAACUCAUUUAAAGUGGCCUAUUUUGAUUUAUUUAACGACGAUGUAUUGCACAUUUACCUUCCGGAACCGUUUUUUUGCUUUUUCUGCGAUUUUCCCGGCUCCGAUCGCAUCUCAAUUUUGAGAUCGAGUAGCCCAUCUCAACGUUGAGAUCGAGUUGCUCAUCUCAACGUUGAGUGGUUUCACUUUUAGCCGGUUUGCGACGUUCAUCUCAAAAUUGAGAUCGCCUGGUUAGCGUGUAAUUUAAUCAAACUCGCUCUAACGGGUUUAACCGUAUAUAUGUUUUGACGUUUCUCCAAAUCAGCUGUUUUGCUUUCAGUGCAGU
Culex pipiens pallens (northern house mosquito) is the source of this 2885-nucleotide long non-coding RNA. RefSeq lists it as uncharacterized. The record is from RefSeq and is a predicted model, not a curated record. The transcript is spliced from 3 exons. Lineage: Eukaryota; Metazoa; Arthropoda; Insecta; Diptera; Culicidae.